CAGCAGCCGCGGUAAUACGAAGGGGGCUAGCGUUGCUCGGAAUGACUGGGCGUAAAGGGCGCGUAGGCGGAUUGUUUAGUUAGGCGUGAAAUUCCUGGGCUUAACCUGGGGACUGCGCUUAAUACAGGCAGUCUAGAGUGAGGAAGAGGGUUGUGGAAUUCCCAGUGCAGAGGUGAAAUUCGUAGAUAUUGGGAAGAACACCGGUGGCGAAGGCGGCAACCUGGUCCUUGACUGACGCUGAGGCGCGAAAGCGUGGGGAGCAAACAGGAUUAGAUACCCCUGUAGUCCCUGUCUCUUAUAC
This 301-nucleotide ribosomal RNA is filed under the name uncultured bacterium. Its description in RNAcentral is "partial 16S ribosomal RNA". It matches the Rfam family "Bacterial small subunit ribosomal RNA", at positions 509 to 807 of the family's 1533-position model. The record is from RNAcentral.